RNAcentral lists this long non-coding RNA (914 nucleotides) under Dromaius novaehollandiae (emu). RNAcentral describes it as "lncRNA (ENSDNVG00000013605.1)". The record is from RNAcentral. Lineage: Eukaryota; Metazoa; Chordata; Aves; Casuariiformes; Dromaiidae.
CGGGGAAGGCGCCUCGGCGGCUCGCCGCCGCUCGCGGGCGGAUGUGCAGCGGACAGCUUGGCUGGGGGAUUGAAUGAAAGCAGGUCAGUUCAUAAAGCGAGCUGAACUUCCACCUCUUUCUUUGGGGUUUUGUCGAGUCGAGUAACGAAGGCUGUGGAAACGCUGUUGAAGGGCAGAUCGUUCCCCUUGUGCAGGCUGUUAGUGAAAAGAGCGUGCUGCGUUCAUCCAGAUACCUCUGCUGCUGGAGGACCUGCAGGUGCAUCGCUUUUCUUCUAACAGGAGAGCUGAUAUUAUGUGCCCAAGUACUGGACUCUUCUCAGCCCCCGAUCUCUACGAUGAGUGGGAUAGGCUGUGUAUCACUUCAUUUAUGCUGUUUCACACUGACUGGUACUAGUCUAUGGUGUUUCCUCCAGGAUGUCUGCACCCUUGAAAAUACUUUUGGUAAUUACUGAUAGUGUUUCCUACUUAAUAAUAUAAUCAUAGUUUUUAACAAUUCCCAAUCCCUCAGAUGAGAAUUGCUAAGCGGGGAAAGGGUUUCUAAAUCGUAGAAAAGCCUGCCAGUGUGGAAGCAAAAAGUCCUAACAAACUUUAAGAUGAAAUCUGUUAAAUCAAUACACCUAAGUGCAUCCAACAGCAAGGAGCAUAACCUGAUCUAGGAGUCCAUUCUGGUCCUAAACCCUCAUAUAAAUUGUGUAACAAAAGGAUAAGGAGAUACUCUUGUCUUUAUAUCUACUAAAAUGAAAUGUAUGGCUASAGAGUUGCUGUUUCUGAAUAGUCAGUCCUAUCUUGAAAAGAAAUCUAGACUAAGCCUAGAACUAGUUAAGUGUUCAGAAAGCAUAAUGCGAGAACUCAAUACUAUUUAAUGACACCUUGCAUUCAAUAAAUGAAUACUGCUACAGUGAUGUCUCCUAAGG